This 350-nucleotide long non-coding RNA is filed under the name Salvia miltiorrhiza (redroot sage). RNAcentral's name for it is "long non-coding RNA (SMIL_LNC008862)". Lineage: Eukaryota; Viridiplantae; Streptophyta; Magnoliopsida; Lamiales; Lamiaceae. The record is from RNAcentral.
AAACCAGUUUCACGGUGAAACCAAUUUUCCGAAUGACACUACUUCAACAUAUAAAUGACACUUUAACAUUUUCAAUGACACUACUGCUGCUGAAAUAGAAAUUUUAUUGAAGAAAAACAAAAACCCUUGAGAGCACAGGCGCAAACAAGGAACGACCGGAAAAACGAAAACCAGAAAAAGACAAAAAAAAACCCAAGCGAAAAGAGAAAGAAAACAACAAGAACGAACUAAAGACGGGACCGCAAAGGGUCACAACCGAGGCCGAGCAAAGUCCACGCAAGAGCCGUCCCGGGUAGAGCACAAAAGCACCAGAACGAGCGCCAGAGAAACCAAGCGCCAGAGGAAUCAAG